UACGAAGGGGGCUAGCGUUGUUCGGAAUCACUGGGCGUAAAGCGCACGUAGGCGGAUCUUUAAGUCAGGGGUGAAAUCCUGGAGCUCAACUCCAGAACUGCCUUUGAUACUGAAGAUCUUGAGUUCGGGAGAGGUGAGUGGAACUGCGAGUGUAGAGGUGAAAUUCGUAGAUAUUCGCAAGAACACCAGUGGCGAAGGCGGCUCACUGGCCCGAUACUGACGCUGAGGCACGAAAGCGUGGGGAGCAAACAGG
Molecule: ribosomal RNA, 253 nt
Filed under: uncultured bacterium
Lineage: Bacteria
Description: partial 16S ribosomal RNA
Rfam family: Bacterial small subunit ribosomal RNA
Source: RNAcentral